GGAGAAAAGCAGGGGAUCGAAAGACCUUAUGCUUUUGGAGCGGCCGAUGUCUGAUUAGCUAGUUGGUAAGGUAAUGGCUUACCAAGGCAACGAUCAGUAGUUGGUCUGAGAGGACGACCAGCCACACUGGGACUGAGACACGGCCCAGACUCCUACGGGAGGCAGCAGUGGGGAAUUUUGGACAAUGGGCGCAAGCCUGAUCCAGCAAUGCCGCGUGAGUGAAGAAGGCCUUCGGGUUGUAAAGCUCUUUCAGUUGAGAAGAAAAGAUUGUGACUAAUAAUUGCAAUUCAUGACGGUAUCAACAGAAGAAGCACCGGCUAACUACGUGCCAGCAGCCGCGGUAAUACGUAGGGUGCGAGCGUUAAUCGGAAUUACUGGGCGUAAAGGGUGCGCAGGCGGUUCUGUAAGUCAGAUGUGAAAUCCCCGGGCUUAACCUGGGAACUGCGUUUGAAAC
Molecule: ribosomal RNA, 454 nt
Filed under: uncultured Nitrosomonas sp.
Lineage: Bacteria; Pseudomonadati; Pseudomonadota; Betaproteobacteria; Nitrosomonadales; Nitrosomonadaceae
Description: bacterial SSU rRNA
Rfam family: Bacterial small subunit ribosomal RNA
Source: RNAcentral